CUCAACAAUAUUGAAUAACCUUUUUGGAAGGGAGUGUAAGAUUUUAGCCCAAUUAUGUAUAUAGACCUAAUUGUGCUAAAAUAAAGUACAUAGGGAUUAAAAGAUAAUUUCACACACAAAACAUGAAUUGAAUCCAUCAACCUAACAAUGAUGAAUCAUGUGGAUGGACAUUGAAGGACGAUCAAAAGUGGCUAGAUCACAUGCAAUAUCAUGCACAGAAAGUUCAGUUAACCAAUCAAGUUGCUUUGCUUCCACCCAAAACCUUGUGAAAGGAAGCAAAAAAU
RNAcentral lists this long non-coding RNA (284 nucleotides) under Gossypium barbadense (sea-island cotton). RNAcentral describes it as "long non-coding RNA (GBAR_LNC017014)". Lineage: Eukaryota; Viridiplantae; Streptophyta; Magnoliopsida; Malvales; Malvaceae. The record is from RNAcentral.